Molecule: long non-coding RNA, 1228 nt
Filed under: Gossypium raimondii (Peruvian cotton)
Lineage: Eukaryota; Viridiplantae; Streptophyta; Magnoliopsida; Malvales; Malvaceae
Description: long non-coding RNA (GRAI_LNC002094)
Source: RNAcentral
GGCCCCAGAGAUGAAUUCCAAACUAGACCCACACGUCCUGAAACACGUCCAUGUUGUCUACCCGUGUGGUCCUAAAUCACAAACAGCGAGUCAUACGGCCUGGACAUACGCCCGUGUCCUUGGCCAGUGUGAACCCUGCACUAACAUGCCCACACACAGCCUGAGCACACACCCGUGUUUCUUGCCCGUGUAGCUAGUAUUCAGUAAAUAGUGUGUUACACGACCUAACACACGAUGUAAUCACUGAAUUUUGUUCGGGAAUAAUUUCGUGUUUUAAAAAAAUAAAAAAAUAAUAAAAAUUUGCAUUUUGACCCCUAAACUUUUCUAAAAUUACAUUUUGACCCCUAAACUUUCUCGAAAUUAUAUUUCAACCCCUAAACUUUUCUAAAUUACAUUUUGACCCUUAAACUUUCUUGAAAUUACAUUUUAACCCUUGAACUUUAUCAGAAUGACACUUUUGCCCCAAAACUUUUGCUGUGUUUACGAUUCAGUCCUUCUGGCAGCCACCACGCAAGUUGCACCUACAACAGGCGGCAGCCGGCCUACCCUCCCUAGCUACCUGCAACCUGCAAAAAAAGGAGAAGAAAAAUCAGUUUAAAAGGGGGUUUUAAACCCCCAAAAAUUUUCAGCCAAGCAAGAAACAAAAACAAAAAAAAAACAAAAAAAAAUUUCAAAGCCAAAAGAAAAAAGGCAAAGAAAUUCCAAAAAAAAAAAGCUCUCAAUCCGGCCGAUUGCCUCCACCGCCACCACGUCCGUCGCGCCACCACCAUUGUCAUCUCACCGUCGAGUCCUAAACGAAAAAAACAAAAACAAAGAAAAAAACAAGCAAAAGAGAAAAAGAGAAAGAGCAAAGAAGAAAAAAGAAAAAGGAAAAGGGGGAGAGCAUACCUCCGUGCGCGCCACCGUCGGCCGUCGCACCAGGCGGAGAGACGUCACCGGUGACACAAGGGGGGUGCUGCUGAUCGGGGAAGAAAGAAAGGAAGAAAAAGAAGAAGGAAAGAAGAAAAGGGAAAGAAGAAAGAAAGAACAAAAGAAAAAAGAAAAACUUAAAAACAAAGCAGGCCCAAACCAAGCCCAGCGCAGCCCAAUCCAAGAGCAGAUUCAGCCCAACAAGAAGCAGGCCAGCCCAGUCCAGCGUCAGGCCCAGUGCUCAGCAGCCCAGCAGUUUCGGCCCAGUCCUUUGGCAGCCCAAUAACAGCAGCCCAACAGCAAAAAAAAUAAAAGAAAG